CCGCUCAGCUGUAAUUAGUCGCAAGUGUUUCCGGCUUCUUUGAUAACUUUUGAAAUGGAUUGAUAAGAGAUUCCUGUUUAUCUGUAAAAUAUUUGUGCCGGGAAAAUGAAAACAGAGAUAGUUACAAUCGUACAAUCAACGUGAAAGCUGUUUUGCGCAACUGUCCUUGCGCGACCCACGUAAAUUAUAUACGGUAUUUGGUCAUUUUUUCGUGGUGGCCUGGGGAGAGUUUUAUACUUUAAUGUGAG
Molecule: non-coding RNA, 248 nt
Organism: Paramuricea clavata
Lineage: Eukaryota; Metazoa; Cnidaria; Anthozoa; Malacalcyonacea; Plexauridae
Source: the annotation of a GenBank genome assembly